RNAcentral lists this long non-coding RNA (9841 nucleotides) under Olea europaea subsp. europaea. Lineage: Eukaryota; Viridiplantae; Streptophyta; Magnoliopsida; Lamiales; Oleaceae. The record is from RNAcentral.
CCCAAAUGCUUGGAGGGAAGCAAGCAUGGACCACACUUUUACUCCAUUAUCCUUCCUUUUCCCACCGAUUUUAUUGUAAGCAGAGUCCCUUUUUUCACAAAACAAAAGCCCCAAAUGCGAAAUCGUCUACUAACUAUUCACUCUCUGACGAUGUUAAAUCUCGUCGACGACGAUUAAUCCCUGUGGAAGACGUGUGCACAAGUAAAAUCAAUUUAUGUUGUGGGUGCACGAUUAGCAUUUUGGUUUCACUCUUCUUCUUUCUCAGUUUUCUUCAAUAAGCGACGAACCAACUGAUUUUCUUCUUAUAGUUUAGGUGAAUCAUGAUGUUAGGUAGCCUUCAUUAUUAUAGUUUGCGUAGAUCUUGAAAAUUUUAGGUGUGUGAAAUUUUAGUUGUAAUAUUUUAAAGAGAGGGAAUGGCAACUACUUCCUGAUUUUUGGGCAGGGGAUCCUACUUUUAUGUAGAACUAAUUAAAUUAUAUGAACACUGAAGUCGUGUAUUUUCAAGUGUAUUACAUGUGCAUAAAAACCGAACCAUCUCUGUCUCUUAUCAAAGAAAAGAAUAACAGAGGAAAUGGUGUUGCCUCUUAAUUUUUAUUCUUACUAUACUUAUGAUAAAAUGGUUUGGCCUCUUAAUUUCUACUAUUAGUGUAGUAAUUGUGUUGUUGAGGAAAAUCAGCUUCUCUAUUUGACAGAUGCCUUGGCUUGGUUAUUUAAAAUUUCAUUAAAAUUGAUUUUAUUGUUAUUUAACAAUUUGAUUUUAUUAUCCAAACUUAAUCGACGAGGUUGGCAAAGGUGUGUAAAAAAGGUACAAGUGCUGCUGUUUUUUCAAUCCAAAUCUUCAUAUUUCCUUUCUCAAUCUUGUUUCCUUGUGAAGAUGUUGGUAGAUUUUUACUUGUGUUUUUCAACCUUUUUAAAAUGGGGCAUGUUCAUGAGAAAAUGAAUCUGAAAAGUGUAAGUAUUAUGCCCUAGGUCCAAUCAACUUUAGACAUAAAUACUUUUGAUAUAUAAUUAAUGCAAUUUAAUGGAAGAUUUAUUAUUUAAUUAAUAGAUAAUUAAAUAAAUAAUAGGGUAUGUAGAUUCAAAUCUUCGUAAUUUGUUAAUCACAAUGAGUUGUGAUUGUGAGAUACAAAUUACAUCUGAUUGAAUCUUAAAUCGUCCGUGGUCGUAAGUAAUAAUGAGAUACGGAUAUCGUUAUUACGGAUAGACCAUCACGUGUGACAUUUCUUACUUAUGAAGUAAGUAGCUGAUCUCACAAACUAAAGUGUGGUGACAUUUAAAUGAACACGUAGAUGUUUUGUUAUAGAACAAAACAUUGGAGAUCCGUCGAGAGAUUCCACAUGGAUAACUAUUUGAGUGUCAGUGGUUAAUCUCUAACGUUCGAUAGUGGGAUUGGUCAUUUUGACUUGAGGUUAUCAUAGUACUUUAUAUGAGGACGGUCAUGCUUUAACGGCGUUGGAUGUUACUCUGCCAAGGGCUACUAAUACAGCAUCGUUCGGGUAUGUUAAUAAUCUUAUGAAGGUUGUGAAUGACCAAUAGAGGAUUCAUCACUCUUAGAUAGUAAGAGAUUAUGAUCUGCGUUUCAUUCAAUUAAGUCGAUAAAGAAAUCCUUGGCUAAGGUGUACUCAUAAAUCGAAAAGAAGUUUUCGACUUAUAUUGACUUAAUAGUGGAGUGAAAGAUAUGAUUGAUAAUCGAGAUUGACACACUUCCAUAUCUCGUAAUUGAUCGGAUCAUAUUGACGAAGGGAUUAUAAUUUUACGGUAAACGAACGAUUUGGUUUUGUCAUACCACAUGACAUUUUCCGUCACAUAUAUUGUCCUGACACAUUGUUAGAUGUCAAUCUGGGAUGGCAAGUGUGAAUUGAUUAUAAAUUAAAAGGGUUUUUUAAUUUAUCAAUUUUGAUUAUAUUAAAAUAAAUUUCACGUCGUUAGACAUCGUGAUCGGGAACCUGAUGGGUCGUAUACAAAAGAGAAUUGGAAGAUUACAAUUUGUCAAUUAAUUAAUUUAACAAUCGUUGGAUAAAUUAAUUAAUUGGUUUGGUUAUUUAUAGGCCCAAAUUAAUUAAUUGGAUUAAUUAAUUCACGGACCGAAUUUAAUUAUAUGUAUUAAUUAAAUAUUGGAUCGGACUAGGCCAGUCCCGUUUGGGUUUAUAUAAAUACAUGACUAGGGUUUUCAAUCCAUAGAUUUUUCUCAUAAUUAUUCUUGCUAGCACAAGAGGAGAAAACCUUGGUAGUUGAAAUCUUGUUUUCUGUGUAGAUCAUCGUUGGAGGUUGGACAAUUGGACAGCUGUUGAUGAUGAAUCAAGAUUGCUGGAACGAAAAGAAUAGCAAAGAAGUUUGCAGAUCUGUAAAAGAUACAAUCUUAUUACAAUUUCUAUCUAAACACAAAGACAAUUCUUGGUGGAAAUCGAAAUCUGUUUUAAUUUUCCGCUAUAUAUGUUAAGUAGAUUUCCAACAGUGAUAUCAGAGCCUAUUUUGUAUUUGUUAGAGAUUGUUUUAAAUUUUUGGGAACAAUCAAAAGUUAAUUUUGUUCUUUUCUUAUUUCUACCAAUUAAGAUGUUAUUUGAUUUUCAUUCUUUUGAAAUCUGAUUUAAAAAGAAUAAAUUUUGGAUCGAGAAAAAAAAGGAAAGGAAAUCUGCCGGUGGCACUGCAACAGCGGGAGCGCCGCUACUGCUGAUUUUGCAGCAGCAGCAGUUGCUGCUCGCUGCAAGCAGCUUCCUGCCGCCGCUGACGCCGCCCCUUAUUAAUAAAUGAUCGGCGCCGCAGGGAAGGGUAUUCUUCUAGGGUUGUCAAGGUCGGGGUGGAAGAGGUUGGGACGGGGGCUCAGGUUGUAAAUUCAAAGAUGUUGAGCCGCUGUGUGCAAUUUCAAUUCAGGGUCAAUUGUAAUUAUUUUAAUGAAGGGCCUGCCUGUAAUUUUCGAAAUUGGAGGGUCCUGAUUAUAAAUUUAAAUUUGGGUCAAGAUGCAAUUUUCAAAAGAGUUUUGAAUUUGAAUCUUAAAAUGGUUUUAAAUUUGAUUUUCAAAUGGGUUUAACCUAAAAUUUCAAUUUUGACCCAAAAUAAAAUUUUAUUUAAAACCGACGACGUUUUAUAUUUUCGUUAAAAUAUGAUUUUAACUUAAAUAUUAAAUUUGACCCCAAAUAGAAUUUUAUUUUAUUUAGGAGUGUUAUCCUAUAUUAAAAUAUUAAUUCUAUUAAAAUUGGAGUUUGACUCUAAUUUAACACUUAAUUAAAAUUUGAUUUUAAUUAAUUAUUCACCCCGAAUGUAUUCUAGAAAUUAGAAUUUGAUUCUAAUUUGACAUUUAAUUAAAAUUUGAUUUUAAUUAAAUUGUCUUACCCUAAAAUUUUCUUUGGAAUUAGAGUUGGACUCUAAUUUAAUAUUUAAUUAAAUUUUUAUUCUAAUUAAAUAAUUUACUCUAGCAUUUCUUGAAUUUACAAUUGGAUUCUUAUUUGAAAUUUAAUUAAAAUUUGAUUUUAAUUAAAUUGUCUCGCACUAAAUUUCUUCUUGGAAAUGGAGUUGGACUUUAAUUUGAUAUUUAAUUGAAAUAUGAUUUUGAUUAAAUAAAAUUCUCCCUUAAAUAUUGAAAUUAGAGUUAGACUCUAUUUUAUUAUUUAAUUAAAAUUUGAUUUUCAUUAAAUUCAACCGCCUUAAAUUUUGAAAUUGGAGUUUGACUCUAAUUUGAUAUGUAAUUAAAAUUUGAUUUUAAUUAAAUUAUCCUCCCCUAUCAUUGUUGAACUAGAGUUGGACUCUAAUUUGAUAUUUAAUUAAAAUUUGAUUUUAAUUAAAUAUGCCCGCUAAUUAAAUUAAUUAAUUAAUACGAUUAAUUAAUUAUUUAAUUGUUCCGAUCCAUUUGUCUAAAAGAGUUUAGACGACUUAAUUGCUAGAAACUUGAAACUAGUUUGCAUAUAAUAGUAGAUAUUAUUUAGGUAUACAUUUAUGUGAUAAAUGUAUUAUUUAGUGGACAAUUAUGGACUCGAUCAUAUGAAUGUGUUGUAUGGUUAAAUUUUUAUUCUUGUCAUUUUAUGGGCCUGCGAUCUCUUAAUUAUUUUGGGCCAGCGAGCCCGUUAUUUUUGUUAUUAUUUUGGGUUUGCGAGCUCUUAAUCAUUUUGGACCUGGGAACCCGUUAUUGUUACUAUUAUUACUAUGGGCAUGCGAGUCCAAUUUCAUUUAGACCUGCAUGCCAGCUUGUAUAGGAUACAGGUUGUAGCUGAACUAAUUGAAGAAAAAAGAAGAGGAGGAGACCAUGGAGAUGGUGUAUUGAUACUGUUCAAUGCUCUACCCCCUAAGAAUUGACCAACUAGUCUUCCUUAUAACUCGGGCUGACUAAAUAGUAAAAGUCCAUAAUCAUUCACACUAUUAUAUUAUGUUAUAUAUAUAUUUAUUUACAUGGUAGAUGUAUAAUAAAAUAUAUAUUAUUGUUACGAUGAGACCUUUGAAUGCAAAAUCCCUCCACAAAAUAUUAAGUCACAUUUAUAAUUGUCUUCCAUAAUUAUAGUGAAAAAUUAGAGUCUCAAAUCGUCUCAACUUGUUGAGUACACUCAAGGCUUGUUUAUUAGGGAUAUGUUUGACACUAUAAAAUAUUAGAAAUUUCUGAAUGAUGGGUUUGACUUAACUAAAAAUUUAUCUUUUGUUGAGUACACUCAAAGAAAUAAAUUUUAGAGGCUGUUAAGCUAACACAUAAGAUGUGUGAAGACAAAGAGUUGUCAGCUUAAUAAUCUGGGAGUUGUAUGGAGAUAUAAUUGAUAAUAAUAUCUAUCCAAAUGUUAUAUUAAGGCUUGUUGAGUACACUCAAGGUCUUAGUAUAACAGAUGAGAUCCCAACUCACUGGGAGUCGAGUAUGGACUCCAUAAAUUUAUGUGAGAGGGUCAUAAAUUUGUAUUAAACAAGUGGGAGAAUAAUUAAUUUAAUAAAAGUCCAUAUUAAAUUAAUUGAUGCAUUUUAUAAAUUAUUCUUUUUCUUUUCGUCAUUUAUAUUUAUUGAAUCGUGAGUAACCAUGUGUAUUUGAGAGGCAUAUUGGAUGCCAACAACCAAAUUAAAUCUCUGUCAUAGAGUUAUUCAUACUAAUUAUGAAUUAUGAUAUAAAUAAGCUCGAAUGCAUACUCAUUAAGUUGCUUAACAUGCUUAAGACAGUUAUGCCCAAUAACAAAGUUAGAAGUGGGCAAGCCAUUGAUUCCUCUAAGGGUAUUAAGAGGAAGUCUAAAGGGGCUUUGUGAAAGCAUCCAAUAUGGUUAAGACAGUCUAAGUGAAAGGACAACAGCAAAUUUAAUGACCCUUGUCUUCAUUAUAGAAUGAAAGGUCAUUGGAAAAAAUUAUUGUAAGGCUUAUAUCUAUUUCAUUAACUUCUCUCAGGUAUUAGAUACUAGAUGUGGAUCUCAUAUUUAUACAAAUAUGGAAAAACUAAAUGGAGGUAGAUCACUGCAAGAGGGAGACGUUAACCUACACGUUGAAGAUAAGCAAAGGUUGCUACAUUGCCUGUAGGAGCAUACUUCUUGCCGUUGCCUUUUGAUUUAGUAAUAGAAUUAGAGAAAUAUUUCUUUGUACCCACCAUAGCUGGAACAUUAAAAUGAAUUUCAUGUUCAGACAUGAACCAUUUUAAUGUUAAGGACAAUUGUUGUUCCUGCAUAUCUUGAUUAAAAUCUUAAUAGUUAUGGUAAGUUACAAAAUAACAUUUAUAUUCUAAAUACUAAGGAUUCUAUAAUGACAGACUUUGUCAUAUAGAUGAAAUGCAAUUUCAAAGUUACAUAAAAAUAUAUACUCGAGAUUAAUUGAUUUUGACAAGUACAAAUUAUGUAUGUCUGGAACAAUGACCUAAUCUUCUUUUACUUGAACAGAAGAAAGGUCAGCAUAAUUACUGGUCUAAUGCAUAGUGAUGCAUAUGGACUCAUGUCAAUUGAUGUCAGGAAAUGUUUCUCUUAUUUUAUCAAUGAUCAUGUAUACUUGAUGAAACUCAAACAUGAAACUCUAGAAAAGUUCAAGGGAUUCAAACUAAAAGUAGAGAAACAAAUAGGUAAAGAUAUCCUCACAUUAAGAUUCGAUCAAGUGAGAGUAUCUUAAAGAUAAAAUCUAGAUUAUCUAUAGAUUAUCUAAGAGAGAAUGAGAUUCUCUUGCAGUGGACUCCUCCAUAUACACUGCAGCAUAGUGGUAUAUCUGAAAGCAGAAAAGUUAACUAUUAGAUAUAGUGCGAUUAAUAACAAGCCAUGUAAAUCUCCUAAAAUUGUUUUGGGGUCAUGCAUUGAUUGCAGUGUGUAACACAUUAAAUCAUGUCACAUCUAAAUUGGUUAACAGAACUCCAUACGAUUUAUGGAAAGGCAAUAGUCUCAAUUUAUCUCAUAUGAAAAUUUGGGGCCAUGGCGCUUAUUUGAAGCGCAUUGAAUCGGAUAAGUUUGAGAUUAAAUCCAAUAAAUACAUAUUUGUGGUAUAUUCAAAGCAGAUAUUUGAAUAUAAAUUCAAUUAUUGUGAAGAAAGUCUUCACCUCACGACAUAUCGUCUUCCUAGAGAAAAUGUUUACUCUAGGGAAGGACAGUGAGAGCAAAAUAGAAUAUGAAAGAGUUCAAGAGUCCACAAAUAUAGUUAGCCAAGUAGAUGAAUUCGAGUUUGAUCUCAUAUCUGAUAUAUUCUUGAUCAGGAAGUAAAGACUCCUGAGGACAUGUCAGUUCUCUGUAAAUCUAGUAGGAUUAUUUGACCUUCGAGAAGGUGCGAAUCCACAAUUACUAAUCAGGUAUUACUGAUCUAGGAUAAUGAACCUACUAGUUAUACCAACAUAAAGUCAAGGGUUGACUUAAAAGAGACAGUAAGAGGUCAAGAAACUCGAGAUGAACUCGAUGUAUAUGAACAAGGUUUGGACCUUGGUCAAGCCUCCUGAUGGAAUAAAACCUAUAAAUUUUUGUAAAUAGUAAACAAGGAAAAAGUCGAUAUGGAUGGGAAUAUCCAUAUAUACAAAGCAAGGCUAGAAGCAAAGGUUAAGUAUUGACCUUGGUGAAACAUUUCUCCUGUAGCCUUGCUGAAGUCCAUUUGGGUUUUGAUUGCAACAAUUACAUACCGUGACUAUAGGUUAAGAGAAGUCUCUUGGAGCUGAAAUCUUAGAUUUGAUGAAAAAGUCAAAGUAUUUGAUUUUAUCAAAUUUGAAGACAAAUUAUGUGUUUACAAAAAGAUAGUAUGAGCAUUGUCGUAUUCCUAAUAUUAUAGAAAACUAUAUCCCUAUAUUUCAAUCGUUGAAAUAAUGGUUGUUAAAUGAUUUAUUCAUAAACGAUAUAAGAGAAGCAACUUGAUCUAUAGAGGUAGAUCUAGAAGAUUUCUUAACUCGUCCCAAUUUACAUAGAUGAAAUCUUGAGAAGAUUUCAUAUGGAGAAACUGGUUUACUCUUAAGCGGUAUGUUGGAAAGGUUCCAAACGUGAAGCAAUCGUUGAUUCAAUAGUAGAAACCUAAUACAUGAUUACUUCAGAAGUAGCAAAGAGCUGCAAUCUUGAUCAUGAUGUUCAUAAAUGAAAUUGGAGUAGCUCUUGUUAUUGUUGAUCACAUGCCAUUGUAUUGUGAUAACAAUAGAGCCAUUUCGAAAACAAAGGAGCUAAGGUAUCAUCAAUGAUUCAAACUUGUAUUAAGGCGGUAUAAUCUCAUCAAAGAGAUAAUACACAGAAUUGACAUAAAGAGAAGAACAAAUUCUGAUAUUUAACAAUAUUGUAGAUCCAUUGACAAAGAGUUAUCGUAGCAUAAACAUGAUAGUCAUCUAGAUUUAUGAUAUUGGAUACAUAAGUGAUUGGAUCUAGUGCAAGUGGGAGUUUGUAAGUAUUAUGCCCUAGGUCCAAUCAACUUUGGAUAUAAAUACCUUUGAUAUAUAAUUAAUGCAAUUUAAUAACAUAUCUAUUAUUUAAUUAAUAGACAAUUAAAUAAAUAAUAGAGUUCGUAAAUUCAAAUCUUCGUAAUUUGUUAAUCACAAGGAGUUGUGAUUGUGAUAUACAAAUUAUAUUUUUGAUUGAAUCUUAAAUCGUUCGUGAUCGUAAGUAAUAACGAGAUAUUGAUGUCGGAUAGACAUCACGUGGGGCAUUUCUCACUUAUGAAAUAAGUAGCUGAUCUCACAAGCUAAAGUGUGGUGACACUUAAAUGAACACGUGGAUAUUUUGUUAUAAAACAAAACAUUGGAGACCCGUCGAAAGAUUUCACAUGGAUAACUAUUUGAGUGUUAAUAGUUAAUCUCUAACGUUCGAUAGUGGGAUUGGUCCUUUUGACUUGAGGAUGUCAUAGUAUCUUAUAUGAGGACGGUCAUGCUUUGACAGCGUUGGAUGUUGCUCUGCCUAGGACUGCUAAUACAACAUCGUUCGGGUAUGUCAAUAAUCAUAUGAAGGUUGUGAAUGACCAAUCGAGGAUUCACCACUCGUAGGUAGUAAGAGAUUAUGAUCUGCGUUUCAUUCAAUUAAGUCAAUAACAAAAUACUUGGCCAAGGUGUACUCAUAAGUCAAAAAGGAGUUUUCAACUUAUAUUGACUUAAUAGUGGAGUGAAAGAUAUGAUCGAUAAUCGAGAUUGACACAUUUCAAUAUCUCGUAAUUGAUUGAAUCAUAUUAACGAAGGGAUUAUAGUUUUACGGUAAACGAAUGAUUUUGAUUUUGUCAUACCACAUAUCAUUUUCUGUCACAUAUAUUGCCCUGACACAUUGCUAGAUGUCAAUCUGGGAAGGCGAGUAUGAAUUGAUGAUAAAUUAAAUAGGUGUUUUAAUUUAUUAAUUUUAAUUAGAUCAAAAUAAUAUUUCACGUCGUUAGGCACGUGAUCGGGAACCUAAUGGAUCGCACACAAAAGAGAAUUGGAAUAUUACAAUUUGUCAAUUAAUUAAUUUAACAAUCGUUGGAUAAAUUAAUUAAUUGGUUUGAUUAUUUAUAGGCCCGAAUUAAUUAAUUGGAUUAAUUAAUUCACGGAUCGGAUUUAAUUAAAUGGAUUAAUUAAAUAUUGGAUCGGACCAGGUCAGGCCUGUUUGGGCUUAUAUAAAUACAUGGCUAAGGUUUUCAAUCCAUAGGUUUUUCUUAUAAUUAUUCUUGCUAGCACAAGAGGAGAAAAUCCUGGUAGUUACAAUCUCGUUCUCUUUGUGGAUCACCGUUGGAGGUUGGAUAAUUGGACAGCUGUAGGUAGCGAAUUAAGAUUGCUGGAAUGAAAAGAAUAGCAAAGAAGUUUGCAGAUUUGUAAAAGGUAUAAUCUUAUUACAAUUUCUAUCUAAACACAAAAGCGAUUCUUGGUGGGAAUCGAUAUCUGUUUUAAUUUUUCGCUGUACAUGUUAAGUAGAUUCCCAACAAAAAGAUGAUUGAUUUGUCUUGAGAAAUGAAGUUAGUUAGAUUGUUAACUAUUCAAAACUUUGAGUUGAGUUUUGCUUAUUCUCCUGCUUAUCUUUAUUGCAAAAAGCACAUCAAUGGACUGAAUUUUUCCCCUCACUAGUUUCUUUUAUCUUCAUUUUUUUCACUGUUAUGGUCAGUGUUGUUGUUAUUUAUGGAGAAUAUGUUUUCCCUUUUCAUCUACAAGGAAAUGAAGGAAUGUGGUGGUUCUUGUUUAUCAGCCUUUGCUGUGAAUCUGGAGUUUAGGGAACUUUGCAAGUGAUUUCCAGUGCCCAAUUUAUUGGUCAAAUUUAUGGUUACAUAUUCGGAUUUGUUUAGUUUUGUAACCCCCAAUGACAGUUUUCGUAUGGAUUGGGUAUGUAACAGAAGCAACAUUGUAAUGGGUAGUGGGAUGAUUACCUACAUGGUUUUAACAAUUGUGUGAUCAUUUUUUUUCAACAUAAGGCAACGUUCUAAUGGAUAGUGCGAUGAUUAACUUUAGUGGUUUUACGACUAGUGUUAACUUAUUUCUCUAAAUUAUGUUCGUUUUUUAAUU